Long non-coding RNA from Clupea harengus (Atlantic herring), 2037 nucleotides. Lineage: Eukaryota; Metazoa; Chordata; Actinopteri; Clupeiformes; Clupeidae. The record is from Ensembl.
GUGUGUGUGUGUGUGCACGUGAGCGUGUGCAAGUGUGUGUGUGUGUGUGUGUGUGUGCGCGUGCAUGCGUAUGAGUGUGUGCGUGUGUGUGUAUGUGCGUGUGUGUGUAAAUAUUCCUUUUGAAGCGCAUAACGGCAAAAUGUCGCUCCAGAAAGCUGUAAUCGAAUGAUAUAUUUUUAAAAUUGUGCUGCAAAUUGGCAUGUCAGGAUAUGAUGUGGGAGAUGAGACGCUGUAAAGGGUUAAGGGCAUAGACAUAUAUUACUAUGGUUAAGGAUCUCUUGACAGGAAAUUGAGCGUCUUCUUCUUGUCACCUAUUAUCAGUGCAGAGGAUCUGCAUGAGGAAGUGCUGCUCUUCAGUCCCCUCCAGAGGCACACACACACACACACACACACACACACACACACUCUGGAGAGGUGCUUUGUGUUUAUUCCCUGCUUUCGGAUCCUCAGGAGAGCUGUGUGUUUUUAAUUAUCCCUCAAAGCAAUCUCUCUAUCUCUCCUUCUCUCUUUUUCUCCCAACUUCUCCCUCUAUCUCUUUCUCUCUCCCACCCUCUAUCACUCCUUCUCUCUUUUUCUCCCACCUUCUAUAUCUCUCUUUCUCUCCAAACCCUCUCUCUCCCCUGCUCUGUAGGCUUUUCAUCACCAUUUUAAUCUUUUUCUCUCUUUCUCUCUCCAUCUCUCUUUCCACCUCUCUCUCCAUCUCUCUGCCUCUGUUUCAUUUUGAAUGCAUGAGGGAUGGGAACAGCGACUGAAUUUGCUCCAUGUGUGUGUGGGGACCCAAUGGUAGUGUGUGUGUGGUGACCCAGGGGUAGUGUGUGUGUGGUUUGUGGUGACCCAGGGGUAGUGUGUGUGUGUGUGGUGACUGGUGACCCAAUGGUAGUGUGUGUGUGGUGACCCAGAGGUAGUGUGUGUGUGUGUGUGUGUGGUGACCCAGGGUUACACGUAAUGUUAUGCAGGACUGUUUGAGUCAUAUCAACACCAGUGUCCUCAACAGGACCCGUAUUAAAACGCCUCCAUGGUUUCUUUUCAUGUUCUAGCUCAGACCACACCCGCCUCUUAAGUAGUGUCUAUCUUAUUUGGGUUUUCUUGGAACAUUCUAGAACAACCUCGACCAACCGUUUCCCCUGUCCGCGUUAUCUGCGUUCUCCCGUGGCUGUGUGCCUGGCUGUGCCCUGGUGACGAGAGAUGGCGUGGGUCUCUGUGUGCCUGGCUGUGCCCUGGCUGUGCCCUGGUGACCAGAGAUGGCGUGGGUCUCUGUGUGCCUGGCUGUGCCCUGGCGACGAGAGAUGGCGUGGGUCUCUGUGUGCCUGGCUGUGCCCUGACGACGAGAGAUGGCGUGGGUCUCUGUGUGCCUGGCUGCGCCCUGGCGACCAGAGAUGGCGUGGGUCUCUGUGUGCCUGGCUGUGCCCUGGCUGUGCCCUGACGACGAGAGAUGGCGUGGGUCUCUGUGUGCCUGGCUGUGCCCUGACGACCAGAGAUGGCGUGGGUCUCUGUGUGCCUGGCUGCGCCCUGGCGACGAGAGAUGGCGUGGGUCUCUGUGUGUCUCGCUCCCUCUCCCGGAGCUUGUGCUCACUCGCACGGCUCACAGUAAAGAAGAUAAAUCAUUUCUCCUCCCUGGCUCAUGGCUCAUGACUCAUUCACGAGCGCGGAGCAUUAGGAUGCAGCACGGCGCUGCGGAGCGGGAGGACCAACCGGCAGACUCCAUUUGCCUCUGAGUCUGAGUCUCCACACGGCCUCCAUCUCAGGGACAGGACGGGAUACCCAUGUUCCUCUGAUCCUGAAUCAUGACCCUGGUUCCCUUGGCGAUGGAGAGGUGAUGGCGGGGCAGGACUCAUGACCCUGGUUCCCUUGGCGAUGGCGGGGCAUGACUCAUGACCCUGGUUCCCUUGGCGAUGGAAGGGUGGCGAUGGCAGGGCAGGACUCAUGACCCUGGUUCCCUUGGCGAUGGCGGGGCAGGACUCAUGACCCUGGUUCCCUUGGCGAUGGAGGGGGGGGGGCGAUGGCAGGGCAGGACUCAUGACCCUGGUUCCCUUGGCG